This 638-nucleotide ribosomal RNA is filed under the name uncultured bacterium. RNAcentral describes it as "bacterial SSU rRNA". It matches the Rfam family "Bacterial small subunit ribosomal RNA", at positions 91 to 745 of the family's 1533-position model. The record is from RNAcentral.
GCGAGUGGCGAACGGGUGAGUAACGCGUGAGGAACCUGCCUCAAAGAGGGGGACAACAGUUGGAAACGACUGCUAAUACCGCAUAAGCCCACGACCCGGCAUCGGGUAGAGGGAAAAGGAGCAAUCCGCUUUGAGAUGGCCUCGCGUCCGAUUAGCUAGUUGGUGAGGUAAUGGCCCACCAAGGCGACGAUCGGUAGCCGGACUGAGAGGUUGAACGGCCACAUUGGGACUGAGACACGGCCCAGACUCCUACGGGAGGCAGCAGUGGGGAAUAUUGCACAAUGGGGGAAACCCUGAUGCAGCGACGCCGCGUGGAGGAAGAAGGUCUACGGAUUGUAAACUCCUGUUGUUGAGGAAGAUAAUGACGGUACUCAACAAGGAAGUGACGGCUAACUACGUGCCAGCAGCCGCGGUAAAACGUAGGUCACAAGCGUUGUCCGGAAUUACUGGGUGUAAAGGGAGCGCAGGCGGGAAGACAAGUUGGAAGUGAAAUCCAUGGGCUCAACCCAUGAACUGCUUUCAAAACUGUUUUUCUUGAGUAGUGCAGAGGUAGGCGGAAUUCCCGGUGUAGCGGUGGAAUGCGUAGAUAUCGGGAGGAACACCAGUGGCGAAGGCGGCCUACUGGGCACCAACUGACG